Molecule: ribosomal RNA, 1040 nt
Filed under: uncultured fungus
Lineage: Eukaryota; Fungi
Description: SSU rRNA
Rfam family: Eukaryotic small subunit ribosomal RNA
Source: RNAcentral
CAUGUCUAGUAUAGCAUUAUACAGCGAAACUGCGAAUGGCUCAUUAUAUAAGUUAUCGUUUAUUUGAUAGUACCUUACUACUUGGAUAACCGUGGUAAUUCUAGAGCUAAUACAUGCUAAAAAUCCCGACUUCGGAAGGGAUGUAUUUAUUAGAUUAAAAACCAAUGCCCUCCGGGGCUCACUGGUGAUUCAUGAUAACUUCUCGAAUCGCAUGGCCUUGCGCCGGCGAUGGUUCAUUCAAAUUUCUUCCCUAUCAACUUUCGAUGUUUGGGUAUUGGCCAAACAUGGUUGCAACGGGUAACGGAGGGUUAGGGCUCGACCCCGGAGAAGGAGCCUGAGAAACGGCUACUACAUCCAAGGAAGGCAGCAGGCGCGCAAAUUACCCAAUCCCGACUCGGGGAGGUAGUGACAAUAAAUACUGAUACAGGGCUCUUUUGGGUCUUGUAAUUGGAAUGAGUACAAUUUAAAUCCCUUAACGAGGAACAAUUGGAGGGCAAGUCUGGUGCCAGCAGCCGCGGUAAUUCCAGCUCCAAUAGCGUAUAUUAAAGUUGUUGUGGUUAAAAAGCUCGUAGUUGAACCUUGGGCCUGGCUGGCCGGUCCGCCUCACCGCGUGUACUGGUCCGGCCGGGCCUUUCCCUCUGUGGAACCCCAUGCCCUUCACUGGGUGUGGCGGGGAAACAGGACUUUUACUGUGAAAAAAUUAGAGUGCUCCAGGCAGGCCUAUGCUCGAAUACAUUAGCAUGGAAUAAUAGAAUAGGACGUGUGGUUCUAUUUUGUUGGUUUCUAGGACCGCCGUAAUGAUUAAUAGGGACAGUCGGGGGCAUCAGUAUUCAAUUGUCAGAGGUGAAAUUCUUGGAUUUAUUGAAGACUAACUACUGCGAAAGCAUUUGCCAAGGAUGUUUUCAUUAAUCAGGAACGAAAGUUAGGGGAUCGAAGACGAUCAGAUACCGUCGUAGUCUUAACCAUAAACUAUGCCGACUAGGGAUCGGACGAUGUUAUAUUUUGACUCGUUCGGCACCUUACGAGAAAUCAAAGUGCUU